CCAUUCCCAUUUGCUGUGGGGGAGGCCUUGGGAGGACUGGAGCUGCCUGGAUUGGGGGUGGUGGCAUGUUUGGAGGUGGUGGCCUGAACUGCAUUGGAGGUGGAGGCAUAACUGGCAGCGACAUUGUUUGACCUGGCUGCGGGGGCUGACCCUGCCAAGCUGGUUGUCCUCCAGCUACCUGCAUUGGUGGGAAAGCUGCAUUUGGUGGGGGU
Molecule: unclassified non-coding RNA, 212 nt
Filed under: Hevea brasiliensis (rubber tree)
Lineage: Eukaryota; Viridiplantae; Streptophyta; Magnoliopsida; Malpighiales; Euphorbiaceae
Source: RNAcentral